RNAcentral lists this unclassified non-coding RNA (211 nucleotides) under Hevea brasiliensis (rubber tree). Lineage: Eukaryota; Viridiplantae; Streptophyta; Magnoliopsida; Malpighiales; Euphorbiaceae. The record is from RNAcentral.
GGACGAGCAAUUAGUUCAGCGAGACAGAGGCAAGCCCUGAAUCCAGUGCUUUAAGUUUAACCAUCAGCUCAAGGCAAAAAACCGAAUUCUUAUGCCUAAAGAUGAAUUGAAAUAAAAUCAAGUAAAACAACUAUUAAUAAGUUUCAAUGCUGGAUCGACUAAACCUAGAUAGAAGGACACCAACCUUCAUUAGUUUGGGCGUUAGUGACCA